UGCCCGAUGGUGUAAUGGUAGCACAUCAGUUUUUGGUACUGAGAGUCCAGGUUCGAGUCCUGGUCGGGUAG
RNAcentral lists this transfer RNA (71 nucleotides) under Phycisphaerales bacterium. RNAcentral describes it as "tRNA-Gln". It matches the Rfam family "tRNA". From Rfam's summary of the family: Transfer RNA (tRNA) molecules are approximately 80 nucleotides in length. Their secondary structure includes four short double-helical elements and three loops (D, anti-codon, and T loops). The record is from RNAcentral. Lineage: Bacteria; Pseudomonadati; Planctomycetota; Phycisphaerae; Phycisphaerales.